CAAGGAGUUGCAACCUGUGGUUGCUAGAAAGUACAGAAGGAAGUAUUCAGUAUAUCUUGCUGUUUCUAUGUCUCAUGAUGAUGAACUUUGCCCUCCUUAGGAGCUGAACCACUGGAGCUGGCCUGGCUCUGAACAUGAAUUUAGCAGAGGACAAUUCUUCCUCUUCCUUAGAGAAGACCUCAGAUUGUCCAGAGCACCAAGCAGCCACUCCACAUCCUGGAAUUAGCCCUCUGUCUUCCACAUACUGCUCUGUCAAUGUGGAAGGGGAUGGUACCCAUCCUACUAGCCCAUCUCAAGAACCUGUUUCAACCAACACUGCAAGCCCAGCUGAAACACCUGGUUUGACCAAAUUUUCUAGUUUGGCACAAACACCCAUUUCAACUAGCCCUGCUAGCCUGUCUAAAACAUAUAGUUUGACACACACACCUAUUCUGUAUGAAACACCCGCUUUUACUAACCCUGCUGGCCCAGCUCAGGGAUUUGUUUCAACCAACCCUGUUAGCUUACUUCAAACAACUGUUUUAACCAAUCCUGCUAGCCCAGCUGAAACGAUUGUUUCAACCAACCCUGUUAGCUUACUUCAAACAACUGUUUUAACCAAUCCUGCUAGCCCAGCUGAAACGAUUGUUUCAACCAACCCUGUUAGCUUACUUCAAACAACUGUUUUAACCAACCCUGCUAGCCCACCUCAAACCGCUGUUUCACCCAACCCUACUAGCCCGUCUGGACCUAUUGGUUCACCCCAUAAACAGAGCACAGCUGAAGAAGGAAUUGUGUCAUGGCCCCAGGGUAAACAAUCCAAUAGGGGAAGGCCACCAAAACAUCUGACUGUUCCUAAACAUCGGCACCAGUUCUCUACACAUGCACG
Long non-coding RNA from Esox lucius (northern pike), 868 nucleotides. Lineage: Eukaryota; Metazoa; Chordata; Actinopteri; Esociformes; Esocidae. The record is from Ensembl.